CCUGAGCACAGCGAGGACCGGAUGCUGUGGCCCUCCGCUCACAUAUGGCCCCCCCUCGGGCCCACCUCAGGGGGCGGCCCAGAGAGGGAAGGAAGGGGACGAGGUCUCCCGCACUCAGAGCCUGGGAUGGGGAGCCCCGCCGGGCCUGGGCACGUGCGGAGGGGCACAGGGAGGAGCCUGGAGGGGGAGAGCCACCCUGGGGCCCAGGCUUUGUGGCGCCUGAAUGGAGAAAGCACAAAUGGCAGCUCCUUCCCCUGCCAGCUCCUGGCUCUCGGCCCCUGCCCCAGGUGGGGAGAAAGGAUCCUUACUUAGGCCGAUGGCACAGCAGAGUCUGGGCCCCACUGGUGAAGGUGGGGGUCUGGAGGCAGCCAGGGCCCCAGGGACUCAGGGACAGCCCCUCAGGGCAGGGCUGGGAGGUGGGACGUAGCUCUCCUACAACUCUCCGGUCCUGGCAUCUGGGGCCCCCAUCUACCCAGGGCGAAGAACCCCCCCCAGCCUGAUCCCCCCACCCCAACCAAUUCGGGCUGCCCCCCAUUCCAGGCUCGGAGCCACCAGGUGGUGGGCAGAAGCUUCCAGAUAAAGCCAUUCAAGGUGAGGCAGCAGCAGAAGCAGAAGCAGGGGAGAGAGGAGUGAGACCAGAGAACCAAAGAACCAGCAGGAGAGGACCCGGAGGAAGACCAAAGCCAGAGCUAGCUCCGUCCUGGAGAGGGGUCUGUGUGUGGGUGGGGACGUGGGGGUGCCCACGGCUACACCCUCCAGGGCCCAGAAAACUCGGCGUGGGAGGCGGCGCCAUCCCCGGAGGGUGAGGGGCGGGGUGGCAGCGCUGGGCCAGGGCGAAGUGUUUUCCCGUGGAGUCUAAGCAAGAAUUGAGACUUCGGGGCAAGGGCAGUAAAAUCUGGUGGGGGGCUACUCUCUGUGGGCAGUGGAGGGCCAAGUGAGGCGGGGAGAGGAGCAGGAAGGUGGGACCCCCCCGCCUUUACUCCUGUCCUUAAAAGCAGGCUGGGGGCCAGGGUCAAGGUUGUGGCAUCCCACCACGGCGCCAGUGGUAAGGCCUCCCCUCUCCUCUCCUUUCUUUUGAGGGGGAGGCUUCCAAAUUCCACGGUUGGGAGCCUGCGGCCUAACUCGGGGCACCUCAGUCAAAGCUGCGGUUCUGCCUCUUUCCGCCCCAUGCAGGCUGCCCAGGAGGGACCAGUGUGUGCAGUGAACUGGGUUGUAACCUCACACCCGAUCCCAAGCGAAGCGGCCCUAGAACCCCUGAGUAUAUGGCAGCCCCCAUCUCGGUGGGGCUGGGGGUGGGGGCCCCGUGAGAUUUACACCAUGCUCCUCGGGGCCUGCUGGCUCAGGGUGGGGCCCGGGCCCUGGCCCGGGUGGGGGGCUGGCCGGCCCUCUGGCUGCUGGGUCCUGCUUGGGGCCUGGAGGAGUUGGUGCCACAGGCUGGUGGCCACGCUCCUAACCUUCUCCAGGGUCUCAAUCCGUUGUUUCAGGAGCCGGUUCUCCGUCCGAAGCCUCUAUGUGGGGAGAGGGGGGGGAGUGUGUCAGAACCCCACCCCGUUCCCCAUACACACAGAGGCCUGUCCCCUUAAGGGCCAGGUCGCCUCCUGGCAAGAUGGAGUCGUGGUCAGGUGUUCUGGGUCAGUGAUUCCAGAAAACAGGGCCAAUCCCUGUUCAGAAUGGCCCAUUAGAUUUUUUUUUUUUUUUAAAGAAUCCUUGGUUCACUUAAAACAAUGUGAUCGCUUUCAGGCGUCAGCAGUCAGCACCCACACCCACUUUCUCUGGAGUCUGUUUCCACCCCACACGGGGGCCUGCCAAAGGCCAAUGUGACACCUAUCACUGGGCAGACCCUUCCUCUGGGUCUGUCAGUCCCCGCCCCUCAUGGCUCUGCUUCGGGCACCAGAACGAACUGUUCUCAGAGUCUGGGUCCAGGGGAGGGGUUCUUGCUGAACACACAGGCUUCCUUCAGCGGGACAGCUACAUUUCUGUGAGCCACCAAAAAUCAGCUGUGCUCAAAAGCUGUCACUUCCCUCCAGCGGGGCGGUUCUGGAGGCAGUUUCCCUCGCUUUCCGCCUUCUCUCCUGCACUGAUGGAUUUGGGUUAGAUAUUUGUGGUUUUAAGUUCCCCGUGGCCUUUUGGGAAGCAGGUGAGCUUUAUAUAUGCCUUGCAUCGUAGCCUCUGCUAGGCACCCCUUACGAAGCGGGUACAGAUAGUUGGACCCAGAGUGUGUGCUGAAUGAACACCAACCAGAUCCUGCGUCUUCCUGAAGCCCCAGGCCCCACAUUCAUCCGUUAUUAAUGAGGGCCCCGCCUCCCUGUGGAUCACAAAGAACCUUUCCUGGUUUCUUCCCGGGAGAAAAAGGUGAUGGAAACACUCAGAACACUCCCAGGAGGCAACCGCGGUCAGAGAGAAUCAUAGACUCGAUUGAGGGUCAUUCACUGAUGUCACGGGUGGGGAAACUGAGUCCCAAGGGGGUGGUGGCUUGCCCGGGCCUCCCAGCUGGCCUGGGUUCGAUCUGUUUCGGGCAGGCUCUCUGCCCCAUAUCUGCGCUCCAGGGUCCUGAUCCUCGCCCCCGGCCCCUGCACUGCGCUGCCUUCUCUCUGGCCACGACCCACCACCGCAGAAUUGCAGAAUCGCAGAGAUCCCUGAGAAGCCGCAUGUGCCCGACUGACAACUCCCCUCUCUCCUGCUUACCCCAAAGGGAAAAUAAGAGACAGGGAGUGAACAGGGACUACAGGGUCAAGGCACACGCUGGGCUUUUUUUUUUUUUUCUUUUAAAUUUUCUGUAUUUUUGAUGCUUUGAUAUCCAGCCACCUUGCUAAUCUUGGAGAGAAUGCCUGGCCCUCGACUAGCCUUUCGUAUGCAAACCAGCCAAUACAGAGCCCACAGCCACCCACCUUCCCUAUAGCACUGACACACCCAGCCAGCGUUCUCCCUGCCCCAAAUUAUCCCAGGGCAACCGAGGACUCUCCUGUAGCCCACAGCUUCUGCUGAAAUUGUUCAGACCAACCAAUCCUGAACUCAAACUUGACGGCCUGCCUUGCCCAUUCCUUCCUGGGGAUGCCCAAUAAAGGAGCUGGCCCACGCUUUCCCUCUCUCACCCUCUGCAUCCUGACCCACUCUGACCCACUCGGGUGCUUCCCCACGUGGCCAGGUGUGGUGGGGCGUGCCCCCUCCUUUUGGCAACUAGGAGUAAUAAAUUCUUUCAAGGGCA
Long non-coding RNA from Felis catus (domestic cat), 3205 nucleotides. RefSeq lists it as uncharacterized. The transcript is spliced from 2 exons. Lineage: Eukaryota; Metazoa; Chordata; Mammalia; Carnivora; Felidae. The record is from RefSeq and is a predicted model, not a curated record.